UACGUAGGUGGCAAGCGUUGUCCGGAUUUACUGGGUGUAAAGGGCGUGUAGACGGGAUGGCAAGUCAGAUGUGAAAUUUAUGGGCUCAACCCAUAACCUGCAUUUGAAACUGUUGUUCUUGAGUGAUGGAGAGGUAAGCGGAAUUCCUAGUGUAGCGGUGAAAUGCGUAGAUAUUAGGAGGAACACCGGUGGCGAAGGCGGCUUGCUGGACAUUUACUGACGUUGAGGCGCGAAAGGGUGGGGAGCAAACAGG
RNAcentral lists this unclassified non-coding RNA (253 nucleotides) under uncultured Eubacteriales bacterium. RNAcentral's name for it is "contains 16S-23S intergenic spacer region". It matches the Rfam family "Bacterial small subunit ribosomal RNA", at positions 524 to 776 of the family's 1533-position model. Lineage: Bacteria; Bacillati; Bacillota; Clostridia; Eubacteriales. The record is from RNAcentral.